This 468-nucleotide ribosomal RNA is filed under the name uncultured bacterium. RNAcentral's name for it is "partial 16S ribosomal RNA". It matches the Rfam family "Bacterial small subunit ribosomal RNA", at positions 28 to 507 of the family's 1533-position model. The record is from RNAcentral.
GACGAACGCUGGCGGCGUGCUUAACACAUGCAAGUCGAACGGAAAGGCCCUGCUUUUGUGGGGUGCUCGAGUGGCGAACGGGUGAGUAACACGUGAGUAACCUGCCCUUGACUUUGGGAUAACUUCAGGAAACUGGGGCUAAUACCGGAUAGGAGCUCCUGCUGCAUGGUGGGGGUUGGAAAGUUUCGGCGGUUGGGGAUGGACUCGCGGCUUAUCAGCUUGUUGGUGGGGUAGUGGCUUACCAAGGCUUUGACGGGUAGCCGGCCUGAGAGGGUGACCGGCCACAUUGGGACUGAGAUACGGCCCAGACUCCUACGGGCGGCAGCAGUGGGGAAUAUUGCACAGUGGGCGGAAGCCUGAUGCAGCAACGCCGCGUGCGGGAUGACGGCCUUCGGGUUGUAAACCGCUUUCGCCUGUGACGAAGCGUGAGUGACGGUAAUGGGUAAAGAAGCACCGGCUAACUACGUG